RNAcentral lists this ribosomal RNA (717 nucleotides) under uncultured organism. Its description in RNAcentral is "bacterial SSU rRNA". It matches the Rfam family "Bacterial small subunit ribosomal RNA", at positions 58 to 811 of the family's 1533-position model. The record is from RNAcentral.
CAAGUCGAACGAUCCCGCCUCGGCGGGAUAGUGGCAGACGGGUGAGUAACGCGUAGGAAUCUACCCCUAUCUUGGGAAUAACCUGGCGAAAGCCAGGGUAAUACCCAAUAGUCCCUGCUUGCAGGGUAAAGGAGCAAUCCGGACAGGGAGGAGCCUGCGUCCUAUCAGGUAGUUGGUGGGGUAAAAGCCUACCAAGCCAAUGACGGGUAGCCGAUGUGAGAGCAUGAUCGGCCACAAGGUUACUGAGACACGGAGCCUACACCUACGGGUGGCAGCAACCGGGAAUUUUGCGCAAUGGGCGAAAGCCUGACGCAGCGACACCGCGUGUGGGAAGACGCUUUUCGGAGUGUAAACCACUGUGGCAGGGGAUGAAUUUUGACAGUACCCUGCUAGAAAGCACCUGCUAACCACGUGCCAGAAGCCUCGGUAAUACGUGGGGUGCAAGCGUUAUCCGGAAUCACUGGGCGUAAGCGUCCGUCGGCGUCUUGACAAGUUCUUUAUGUAAGCCUGGGGCUCAACUUCAGAUCCGUGAGGAAAACUGUCAAGAUUGAGUCUGUCUGGGGAAACUGGAAUUCUUGGUGGAGGGGUGAAAUCCGUAGAUAUCAAGAGGAACGCCAAGCGCGAAGGCAGGUUUCUAAGACAGUACUGACGCUCAGGGACGAAAGCUAGGGUAGCAAAAGGGAUUAGAGACCCCUGUAGUCCUAGCCGUAAACGCUG